This 22-nucleotide non-coding RNA is filed under the name Arabidopsis thaliana (thale cress). Lineage: Eukaryota; Viridiplantae; Streptophyta; Magnoliopsida; Brassicales; Brassicaceae. The record is from RNAcentral.
UGAAGAGAAGCAAAAGUUUCUA